CAGAACUUCCACAGACAGACAGACAGACAGACCCAGUCCACAGGGUGGUCGUGUUCUCUUCUCUCCUCCCUCCACCUAGGUGAGCUCCAGGCCUCCCUCUACCCUCUCCAGGCCCAGCCCACACAGUUUAUUGCAUGAAGGAGCUGUUGAGAACAGGAUGAGUGGAACAACAGAGCAUGAUGGGAGCUGUGGACUGAGAACAGUCUAGGUGCUAACUGAGCUGUUACUGGCACACCCAUGAUGAGCUGGGUGCUUCUGGUGCUGCCCGUGCCCCGUGUUCAGUUCCCUCAGCUGGCCAUCUCUCCCAGCCACCCUGCCAGGUCCUGCUCAAGUAGGAUGUGUGACUGGUUUGCUCUACAUUCUACACACAGAAUGGAGCUUAAAGAGCAAACCAGCAAACAACGGCCUAUAUAAUGGGCCGGCCAGCUAGCUCCCCUGGAUAGUGUGUGCCUACUUUGGCAUGUGCAGAAGCCAGUCUGAGCCCAACUUCGGCCUCAGUGGAGGAGACUUCAAUGCUGUGCUAUCUCUCCCGCUGUCUGUUUCUCUAUAUGAGAAAGUGGUGCCGACAUAGUGGCAACAAAAACAAGUAAAUAAGUGAAUAAAUAAGGACAGUGGCAAAUACAGUUGGUAAAUCUGAUCACUCCUUGCAGUGGAAUACGAUGCAGCUGCUAGAAAUCAGUGUUGGGCUGGGGAGAUAGCGUAAUGAUAUACUUAAUGACUUUAAAAAAAUAUUAGUGGUUUAAUAAUGAUUGACAAGGCUAUGGUACAAGAAGGGUACAAUUCCACACAAUUCCCGCCACCAGAGUUUCAUAUCCCCUCCCCCGCCACUGGAAGUGUUUCCUUAUUCUUUAUCCCGCUGGGAGUAUGGACCAAAGAUCUUUAUGGGAAGCAGAAGGUGGAAGGACUGGCUUCUGUAAUUGCUUCUCCACUGGAUAUGGGUGUUGACAAGUCAAUCCAUACCCUCAGCCUGUUUCUAUUUUUCCCUAGUGGGGAAGGGAUCUGGGGAGGUGGGGUUCUAGGACUUAUUGAUGAGGUCGUCUGCCCAGGGAGGUCAGGUUGACUUCAUGGUAGCACCUGCAAGUUGGUGGCUGAAAAGCAUUAAGAUAUAAAGCAGAACAAUUUGUUUAAUAAUCAGGAACACAAAUGUAAAAGUGGAGCAGAUGAAAUUUGGGGUCUUCAUGUUGGAAGGAGCUAGGAAGCCUAUUUUAGGUCUAUUCGAAGGGGCCCAUGACUUUGCUAAUUUUUAAAAAAUAUUUAUUUAUUUUCCCUUUUGUUGCCCUUGUUUUUUUUUUAUUGUUGUAGUUAUUAUUGUUGUUGUUAUUGAUGUCGUUGUCGUUGUUGGAUGGGACAGAGAGAAAUGGAGAGAGGAGGGGAAGACAGAGAGGGGGAGAGAAAGAUAGACACCUGAAGACCUGCUUCACUGCCUGUGAAGAGACUUCCCUGAAGAUGGGGAGCCGGGGGCUGGAACCUGGAUCCUUACGCCAGUCCUUGCACUUUGCGCCACGUACACUUAACCCGCUGCGCUACCGCUCAACUCGUGGACCUUACUAAUUUUUGAUUGAGUCCAACAGCUAACAUGCAGGUGGGCUAGGAGUAUUGUCUGGGAAGCUGUUGUCAAGAGUUGAUGAUAGGACCAGAAAUCCGAAUAAGGGCAGAGAGAAGCUUCCAAAUAUGGGAAAAAUACAUAAAUACUAUUAACUGUAAGCCCCUUUGAUCUGACCUAGGGCCCAUAUCUAUUUAUAUUUAGCACAGGAGCCUGUGUAAACUCUACAUCCCUAUUGGUCUGAGCUCACAUUCCGUGGUAACUGCUAGGAACAUUCUAGGCUGCACUCAUUUCAGGACCCGUCUUCCUCAAGUGGCAGAAUAUGUUGACUCAACCUCCCUUUUGAGAGUGGGGCAGUUUCUACCACUGUUGUUCUUCACUGAGGACAAGGUCCUGUAGAGGCCCACAAGAGGGUUUAUGAGGUUCCUGACGGAGAUGACCAGUGAUGGUGGAGGGAGGGAUCUGUUAGAGGUCUAGGCCCAUCAUAUCUAUGUGGGAAUCCCAGGAUUCCUUGACUAGAGCCCUGGAUGAUGUAGUGACCUGGUAGUGACCAAAAGUGCCAUCAUUAGAGUGUGCUGGUCUCUUGCCCUUAUCCAGCUUUUGUAGUCCUUACUUUAUUUGACAUGUUUGAACUAAGAGUGAUUGAGGGAAGUGAAACAGGGAGUAGGUGAGUAGGGUAACUAAGUAGAAAAUAUUUGAUUAAGUACCUUAUGGUGUCUCUUUUUUAUUUAAUUUGUUAUUUAUAAAAAAGGAAACAUUGACUACACCAUAGGAUAAGAGAGGUACAACUCCACACAAUUCCUACCACCAGAACUCUGUAUCCCAUCCCAUCCCCUGAUAGCUUUCCUAUUUUUUAUCCCUCUGGGAGUAUGGACCCACGGUCAUUGUGGGAUGCAGAAGGCUGAAAGUCUUCUGUAAUUGCUUCCUCACUUUACAUGGGUGUUGACUGGUCCCAGCCUACCUCUCUCUUUCCCUAGUGGGGCAGGGCUCUGGGGAAGUGGAGCUCCAGGACACAUUGGUGGGGUUGUCUGUCCAGGGAAAUCUGGUUGCAUCCUGCUAGCAUCUGGAACCUGGUAGUUGAAAAGAGAGUUCACAUACAAAGCCAAACAAAUUGUUGACCAAUCAUGGACCUAAAGGCUGGAAUAGUGCAGAUGAAAAGUUGGGGGGGUCCUCCAUUUUGUAGAUAGCUAGUAGGCAUAUUUUAGUUAUAUUCCAAAGGGCCUGUAGCUAUACUAGUGCUUUUUUUUUUUCUUUUGCCUGAGUUUGAAAUCUAAUAUGCAGGUGGAUCCUAAUUAUUGUCUGGGGAGGUGGUGUCAUGGCUGGCAGGAGGACUAGAAAGCUGGAUCAGGGAAAAGAAUAGCUCCCAAAUAUGGGAAAAGUAUAUAGAUAUUGCUGACUGUAAUGUUGUCUCUUUUUAUGUCUUUCUACUUGCUUGUUGCAUUUAUUGAGUCACUGUAGAGCAUUGUGUAUUGUAGAGUAUUGUAGAGUAAUGACUUUCAUGCCUGAGUCUCCAGUAUACCAGGUUCAAUACCCAUAAGCCAGGCCUGAGCAGUGUUCUGGUGAGACGAAGGAGGAGGAGAAGGAGAAGGAGAAGGAGGAGGAGGAGGAGGAGGAGGAGGAGGAGGAGGAGGAGGAGGAGGAGGAGGAGAAGAAGAAGAAGAAGAAGAAGAAGAAGAAGAAGAAACAAUGUUUUGUGUUUGUUCAUUUCUAUAUAUAAACAUGAAAAUAAAUCUCUUGAGCAUUU
Molecule: long non-coding RNA, 3287 nt
Organism: Erinaceus europaeus (western European hedgehog)
Lineage: Eukaryota; Metazoa; Chordata; Mammalia; Eulipotyphla; Erinaceidae
Exons: 2
Source: RefSeq, a predicted model, not a curated record